CAAGAGGCUGAGGUGCCUAUUUACUACAUCACACCUGGACCUGGCUGCCAAGACUUUCCACUGUUCUUCAGCCUUUACCUGUUACAGGAAAGGACCAGCCAAGGCCUAUUCAGGUCCCAGCCAGAAAUGUCCAACAUCACCCUGCCAACCAGAAAGAUGGCUUGCCACUCAAUGACUGGUCAGGAACAGAGGAGAUGGAUAAAGGCCACCCCUUCCAGAACAACAAAAUCUCCUGAUCUGGUGGAAACCUAUGAGGACAAAACACCAUGAAAUUGGAUCCAUGAGUGAUAGCAACCAAGGAUGCUGGUCCUGUUUUACAAUCUAAAUAACCAUCUUACCAUUACUAUGAUGACCCCUGGAAUGAAAGGCAAAGAACAGGACUCGAGGGAAAACUAUA
Long non-coding RNA from Peromyscus eremicus (cactus mouse), 397 nucleotides. RefSeq lists it as uncharacterized. The record is from RefSeq and is a predicted model, not a curated record. The transcript has 3 exons. NCBI's taxonomy places the organism in Eukaryota, Metazoa, Chordata, Mammalia, Rodentia, Cricetidae.